Molecule: long non-coding RNA, 1025 nt
Organism: Mustela erminea (ermine)
Lineage: Eukaryota; Metazoa; Chordata; Mammalia; Carnivora; Mustelidae
Exons: 3
Source: RefSeq, a predicted model, not a curated record
GGGGAAAAGAGCAAGCAGAUGACAGGGAGUGUUGGGAGAAGGGUGAGGAAUUUGGACAUGCAGUGGUUGUUACUUCGCAGAGGGUGGUCAGGAAAAGUCUGUCUUAUAAGGUGACAUCUGAGCAGGAUGAAGCAGAACAAAGGAGUAAAUCAUGCGGACAUCCACGAAUACUCAGCACAGGUAAUAGCAGGUCCAUAGACCUAAAUAUGGAGCUAUACCUGCCUUGUUCCAGAAACACAUGAAGAACAGCAUUUUCAGAAAUCAGUGAAUGAGGAGGACAGUAGAUAGGAACCCAUGGGACAAGUGAUCCUAAGGACUUGGCUUUCACUGACUGAAAUAGGAAGCCACUGGAGAAUUUUGAGCAGAGAAGUGACAUGAUGUAACCCGUGUGUCAAUAGAUCACUUUGGCUGGGGCACCUGGCUGGCGGGGCCGGCGGAGCAUGUGACUGUUAAUCUCGGUGUUUUGAGUUCCAGACCCAGGUUGGGUGCAGAACUUACUGAAAAGAAAAACAAAAUCACUUUGGCUGACUUGCAGAGGAAGGCGUUGGUGGGCUAGUUAGAACCAGCAAUAGAACAAGCAAUAACCCACGGUGACAGACCUUGUGGAAUCUGACCAGGGUGCAGGUAGUGAGAAGCUGUCAGAUUCUGAAUUCAUUUUGAAGACAGAAUCUACAUGACUUGCUGACGCACUGAACACAAGGUGUGGAAAGAAAGAGGAAUCAAGGAUGGCCAUGGGAGGCAGACCUCAGCAUCUGACGAGUGUUAUGCUCAGGAAAGGCUCCUGCACGACCAGCAAAGCCUCACGACCGCCUCUGGAACCGUUUUAUCACUUCACUGUCACUAGUGCGGAAAAGCCCCAGCUGCCCCUUUGGUCACCCUCUGACCACCCCAUCUGAGGCCGCGGCCGAGACCCCAGCUCAGGUCCUGUUACGUGUUCAGGGUCGUGAGAUCGAUCCCCGCUAUGGGCUCCGGGCUCAACGCAGAGGCCGCUUCUCUCUCCUUCUGUCCCUCCUCCCUCGUUGGCG